CACAAGCGGAGGAACAUGUGGUUUAAUUCGAUGAUACGCGAGGAACCUUACCUGGGCUUAAAUGUAGAGCGACAGAUCGGGAAACUGGUCCUUCUUCGGACGAUCUACAAGGUGCUGCAUGGUUGUCGUCAGCUCGUGCCGUGAGGUGUCGGGUUAAGUCCCAUAACGAGCGCAACCCUUAUCGUUAGUUGCCAGCGGGUAAUGCCGGGGACUCUAACGAAACUGCCGGUGUAAACCGUGAGGAAGGUGGGAUGACGUCAAAUCAGCACGGCCCUUAUGUCCAGGGCGACACACGUGUUACAAUGGCCGGUACAGAGGGCAGCUACCUGGUGACAGGAUGCAAAUCUCCAAAACCGGUCUCAGUUCGGAUCGAAGUCUGCAACUCGACUUCGUGAAGCUGGAUUCGCUAGUAAUCGCGCAUCAGCCAUGGCGCGGUGAAUACGUUCCCGGGCCUU
Molecule: ribosomal RNA, 455 nt
Filed under: uncultured Sphingobacteriales bacterium
Lineage: Bacteria; Pseudomonadati; Bacteroidota; Sphingobacteriia; Sphingobacteriales
Description: bacterial SSU rRNA
Rfam family: Bacterial small subunit ribosomal RNA
Source: RNAcentral